AUUGAAUCUGGUGGGAAGAGGCAGCACGUCCUCUGCUUUUUAACCAAGUCAGGUUUGAGACUAACCAACUCAGCAGGGUGAACGCCAAACCUGAUGACUAGAGUCAACGUUACCUUCCACAUCCACUGAACAUAUUUCAUCCAUUCAUCCUUUCACCCCCAUCACCCCCAUUCAAAGUCUGGGAGAGGAAGGAAGUCACGAGGAAGUCUUGCAACAGCAACACCCUUGUGAUGUCUCCAAAAUUGUCCAUUCUUCCCUUGGAUAUCAGCUGAAGAACACAAGAUCUAUCAUCAAAUGUCGGUGGGGCCCAGUUCAGAAGAGAAGACCAAGAGAAAUAUAUUUCAGCCCUGGUUCUGAGGUUUUACAAAAGUAUGGUGAUUUUGGGAGUCCACCUGGGUGGUUGAGAUGACCAGCAUGAAGUUGGACUAGUUGAAAAGUUUUUAAAGAGGGCAUUUUCUCUUUCCAAUAAGAUUUAUUUUGCUCUUUUCCAAAGUCAACAUUUCGGACGUUGGAACAAAAUACAAAACAGCCUUGAAAAAGAACCGCUUGACUGCUUAACCAAGACAAAAAUAUUCCACAUUUUUAUGAAUGAAAGAACCUUCUGGGCCAAGACAGAGAUCAAGGAGACUAUUCUUCCUUUGGCUUUUUAAUUUUUUGGGGGGGUUCCCCUGUAGUUGGGGAGGAAAAGCGUUUAAAUAUUUUAAAUGCUGAGAUAAUGAUUUGUAGGCUGCUCUGUGGAGUCUCUCAUUCAAAAGGCAAGCUAUGCAUUUCCAUUCAUAAAUAAUAAGAGAGGGUUGGCCCCCAGCAAGAAGGAGAAAUUGACUU
RNAcentral lists this long non-coding RNA (825 nucleotides) under Naja naja (Indian cobra). RNAcentral's name for it is "lncRNA (ENSNNAG00000015770.1)". The record is from RNAcentral. Lineage: Eukaryota; Metazoa; Chordata; Lepidosauria; Squamata; Elapidae.